RNAcentral lists this unclassified non-coding RNA (207 nucleotides) under Hevea brasiliensis (rubber tree). The record is from RNAcentral. Lineage: Eukaryota; Viridiplantae; Streptophyta; Magnoliopsida; Malpighiales; Euphorbiaceae.
GGGCAAGUGAGUUGUUUGAGAUUGAUAAUAGAGGAGGGUUAGCAACAAUUAAAGAAGGCCAUGAAGUUGAAACUAGUACUUUAUAUUCAUUUGAUUUCCAUGACAAUGGGAAUGCUGUUGUCUAUGUUGUUGUUGGGAAUAGUAAUAAGAUUAGUAAGGAGACAAGUAUGGAUGCUCUUCUUUGGACACUCGAAAAUGUUGUGGUCG